AUGUCGUCUUCCACCUCUGCCAUCUCCUCUGGCCUCAACAACAAUACAUCUGAACCUCUUACCCGCACCAACUAUAUCCUAUGGCGCGCCCAAGCCAGAUCACAGAUCAUGGGCGCCGGCCUAUACGGUUACCUCGAUCAAACCAUCGAAGAAUCUUCCAAAACAAUCACCACCAAGACCACCGAUGGCAAGGACCAGGUUGUUGUGAACCCUCUAUGCCCCUGGUUAAUCCAGGACCAA
Molecule: ribosomal RNA, 240 nt
Filed under: Triticum aestivum (bread wheat)
Lineage: Eukaryota; Viridiplantae; Streptophyta; Magnoliopsida; Poales; Poaceae
Description: partial small subunit ribosomal RNA
Source: RNAcentral